GGCAAAUUACUCGUUCCGUGGCUUUCUUUCAGAACCACGUCAACGAAAUGGAAGAGAAAAAGAAAAUCUUCGAACUGUUGAAAAGAGGGAAGAUAUCCAUGUGGGUUUUGAUCACGAAGCUCAGGGGACUCAUGGACUGCUUGUGGACAGUUCACAAAAAAAGGCCAAACAACAGCUCGUAACUAAACUGGCAAUAAAAUAUGUACAUUUUCCUCCA
RNAcentral lists this long non-coding RNA (217 nucleotides) under Dermacentor andersoni. Its description in RNAcentral is "uncharacterized LOC126545201". Lineage: Eukaryota; Metazoa; Arthropoda; Arachnida; Ixodida; Ixodidae. The record is from RNAcentral.